RNAcentral lists this long non-coding RNA (3008 nucleotides) under Sus scrofa (pig). RNAcentral's name for it is "lncRNA (ENSSSCG00040037637.1)". Lineage: Eukaryota; Metazoa; Chordata; Mammalia; Artiodactyla; Suidae. The record is from RNAcentral.
UAUAUGACAAACCCACAGCUAACAUCAUACUCAAUGGUGAAAUCUGAAAGUAUGUCCUCUAAGAUCAGGAAAGAGACAAAGAUGUCCACUUUCACCACCUUUUUUUUUUUUCUUUUUUCUUUUCUGGCUGUCCUAGGGCAUAUGGAGUUCCCAGGCCAGGGAUCAGAUUCAAGUUGCAGGUGCAAUCUACUGAGGCAACACCAGACCCUUAACUCACUGUGGCAGAUUGGAGCUCUAACCUGUGUCCCAGUGCUCCAGAGACACCACCAAUCCCAUUGCAACAUAACAUAAAAGGAACUCCUUGCCACUUUUAUUCAAUAUAGUUUUGGAAGUCCUAGCCACAGCAAUCAGAGAAGAAAAAGAAAUAAAAGGAAUCCAAAUUGGAAAGGAAGAAGUAAAUAUGUCACUGUUUGCAGAUGACAUGAUGCCAUACAUAAAAAACCCUAAAAUACUACCAGAAAACUACUAGAGCUCAUCAAUGAAUCUGGUAAAGUUGCAGGAUACAAAAUUAAUACACAAAAAUCUGUUGCAUUUCUAUUCACUAACAAUGAAAUAUCAGAAAUAGAAAUUAAAGAAACAAUCUUAUGUAUCAUUACAUCAAAAAGAAUAAAAUACCUAGGAAUAAACCUACCAAAGGAGGCAAAAGACCUGUACUUGGAAAACUAUAAGAUAUUACUGAAAGAAAUUGAAGAAGACACAAUCAGAUGGGAAAGAAAUACCAUGUUCUUGGACUGGAAGAAGCAAUAUUGUCAAAAUGACUAUAGUACCCAAGGCAAUCUACAGAUUCAGCACAAUCCUAUCAUAUUUUUUUUCGCAGAUCUGAAACAAAAAUCUUUUUUUUAAAUUGUUAUUUCCCCAAUACGAUUUUUUUCUACUGUACAGCAUGGUGACCCAAUUACACAUACUUGUACACAUUCUAUUUUCUCACAUUGUUGUGCUGCAUCAUAAGUGACUAGACAUAGUUCUCAGUACUACACAGCAGGAUCUCAUUGCUAAUCCAUUCCAAAGGCAAUAGUAUCCACCUAUUAACCCCAAGCUCCCCAACCACCCCACUCUUCCCCCUCCCCCUUGGCAACCACAAGUCUAUUCUCCAAGUCCAUGAGUUUCUGUUCUGUGGAAAGGUUCAUUUGUGCCAUAUAUUAGAUUCCAGAUAUAAGUGAUAUCAUAUGGUGUUUGUCUUUCUCUUUCUGACUUACAUCACUCAGUUUGAGAGUCUCUAGUUCCAUCCAUGUUGCUGCAAAUGGCAUUAUGUCGUUCUUUUUGAUGGCCAAGUAAUAUUCCAUUGUGUAUAUAUACCACCUUUUCCUAAUCCAUUCAUCUGUCGAUGGACAUUUGGGUUGUUUCCAUGUCUUGGUUAUUGUGAAUAGUGCCGCAAUGAACAUGCGGGUACAUGUGUCUUUUGUAAGGAAAGUUUUGUCCAGAUAUAUGCCCAAGAGUGGGAUUGCUGGGUUAUAUGGUAGUUCUAUGUAUAGAUUUCUAAGGUAACUCCAUACUGCUUUCCAUAGUGGUUGUACCAGCUUACAUUCCCACCAACAGUGCAGGAGGGUUCUCUUUUCUCCACAACCCCUCCAGCAUUUGUUAUUUGUGGACUUAUUAAUGAUGGCCAUUCUGACUGGUGUGAGGUGGUAUCUCGUGGUAGUUUUGAUUUGCAUUUCCUCUAAUAAUCAGGGAUGUUGAGCACUUUUUCAUGUGCUUGUUGACCAUCUGUACAUCUUCCUUGGAAAAAUGUCUAUUCAGGUCUUUUGACCAUUUUUCCACUGGGUUGUUGGCUUUUUUGCUAUUGAGUUGUAUAAGUUGCUUGUAUAUUCUAGAGAUUAUGACCUUGUCAGUUGCAUCCUUUGAAACUAUUUUCUCCCAUUUGGUUAAUUGUCUUUUUGGUUUCUUUUCCUGUGCGAAAGCUUGUCAGUUUGAUUAGGACCCAUUGGUUUAUUUUUGCUUUUAUUUUUGUUCCUUUGGGAGACUGACCUGAGAAAAUAUUCAAGAGGUUGAUGUCAGAGAGUGUUUUGCCUCUGUUCUCUUCCAGGAGUUUUGACGGUGUCUUGUCUUAUAUUUAAGUCUUUCAGCCAUUUUGAGUUUAUUUUCAUGCAUGAUGUGAGUAUGUGUUCUAGUUUCAUUUAUUUGCAUGCAGCUAUUCCAGGUUUCCUAGCAAUACUUGCUGAAAAGACUUUUUCUCAUUUUAUGUUCUUGCCUCCUUUGUCAAAGAUUAAUUGACCAUAGGUGUCUGGGUUUAUUUCUGGGUUCUCUAUUCUGUUCCAUUGGUCUGUAUGUCUGUUUUGGUACCAGUACCACAUUGUCUUGAUGACUAUGGCUUUGUAAGAUUGCUUGAAGUCUGGAAAAGUUAUGUCUUCUCCUUGGUUUUUGUUUCUCAGGAUUGCUUUGACAAUUCUGGGUCUUUUGUGGAUCCAUAUAAAUUUUUGGAUUGUUUGUUCUAGUUUAGUAAAAAAUGUCCUGGGUAAUUUGAUAGGGAUUGCAUUGAAUCUGUAGAUUGCUUUGGGUAGUAUGGCCAUUUUUACAAUAUUAAUUUUUCCAACCCAGGAACAUGGAAUAUCUUUCCCUUUCUUUACCCUUUUUUUUUUUUUUUUUUGGUCUUUUUGCCUUUUCUAGGGCUGCAUCUGCAACAUAUGAAGGUUCCCAGGCUAGGGGUUGAAUUGGAGUUCCAUCGGCCUACACCAGAGCCACAGCAAUGCGGGAUCCAAGCCAUAUCUGCGACCUACACCACAGCUCAUGGCCACACCGGAUCUGAGCAAGGCCAGGGAUUGAACCCACAACCUCAUGGUUCCUAGUUGGAUUUGUUAACCACUGAGCCACUAUGGGAACUCCUCUUUACAUCUUUAAUUUCCUUGAUUCAUGUUUUAUAGUUCUCAGCAUAUAAGUCUUUUAUCUCCUUGGUCAGGUGUAUUCCCAGGUAUUUGAUUUUUUGGGGUGCAAUUUUUAAAAGUAUUGUAUUUGCAGAUGACAUGAUACUACAUAUAGAAAACCCUAAGGACUCAACACAAAAACUAUUUGAA